Molecule: small nuclear RNA, 19 nt
Filed under: Arabidopsis thaliana (thale cress)
Lineage: Eukaryota; Viridiplantae; Streptophyta; Magnoliopsida; Brassicales; Brassicaceae
Description: snRNA_07981
Source: RNAcentral
GAACCCACAAAGGGUGUUG